RNAcentral lists this small RNA (748 nucleotides) under Pan troglodytes (chimpanzee). RNAcentral's name for it is "retained intron". Lineage: Eukaryota; Metazoa; Chordata; Mammalia; Primates; Hominidae. The record is from RNAcentral.
AAGCUGCGAAAAAGAAGACUAAGAAAAGAGAUACCAAAGUCGGGACUAUCGAUGAUGAUCCUGAAUAUAGAAAGUUUUUGGAAAGUUAUGCCACAGAUAAUGAGAAAAUGACAUCUACUCCAGAGACACUGCUAGAGGAAAUAGAAGCAAAAAAUAGAGAAUUAAUAGCUAAAAAGACAACCCCACUUUUGAGCUUCCUGAAAAACAAGCAGAGAAUGAGAGAAGAAAAGAGAGAAGAAAGAAGGAGGAGAGAAAUAGAAAGAAAAAGACAAAGAGAAGAAGAGAGGAGGAAAUGGAAAGAAGAAGAGAAACGAAAAAGGAAAGAUAUAGAAAAGCUAAAGAAGAUAGACAGAAUUCCAGAAAGGGACAAAUUAAAGGAUGAACCAAAGAUUAAGGUACACAGGUUUCUGUUACAAGCUGUGAAUCAGAAAAAUGUAAGGACCAAGUACAUGAUACAGAGCAUCUAGUAUCAUGUCACACACACAGCUGCUCAAGAAGCCAGAAAAAGGGGAUGAAAAAGAAUUGGACAAAAGAGAAAAAGCCAAGAAAUUGGACAAAGAGAAUCUCAGUGAUGAAAGAGCCAGUGGGCAAAGUUGUACAUUGCCCAAGCGUUCUGAUAGCGAACUUAAAGAUGAAAAACCAAAGAGGUCAGUAGUCAAGGACUCUUUGUUAUGUUUGAUUUAUACAUGCUAGUUUUGCUGCUAUGUCCUGGACAUGUACCUGAAUUAAGAUAAGCUGUUUUAUGCAG